UUCGGGCCUCUCGCGUCAGGAUAUGCCUAGGUGGGAUUAGCUAGUUGGUGAGGUAAGGGCUCACCAAGGCGACGAUCCCUAGCUGGUCUGAGAGGAUGAUCAGCCACACUGGAACUGAGACACGGUCCAGACUCCUACGGGAGGCAGCAGUGGGGAAUAUUGCACAAUGGGCGCAAGCCUGAUGCAGCCAUGCCGCGUGUGUGAAGAAGGCCUUCGGGUUGUAAAGCACUUUCAGUCGUGAGGAAGGUAGUGUAGUUAAUAGCUGCAUUAUUUGACGUUAGCGACAGAAGAAGCACCGGCUAACUCCGUGCCAGCAGCCGCGGUAAUACGGAGGGUGCGAGCGUUAAUCGGAAUUACUGGGCGUAAAGCGCAUGCAGGUGGUUUGUUAAGUCAGAUGUGAAAGCCCGGGGCUCAACCUCGGAAUUGCAUUUGAAACUGGCAGACUAGAGUACUGUAGAGGGGGGUAGAAUUUCAGGUGUAGCGGUGAAAUGCGUAGAGAUCUGAAGGAAUACCGGUGGCGAAGGCGGCCCCCUGGACAGAUACUGACACUCAGAUGCGAAAGCGUGGGGAGCAAACAGGAUUAGAUACCCUGGUAGUCCACGCCGUAAACGAUGUCUACUUGGAGGUUGUGGCCUUGAGCCGUGGCUUUCGGAGCUAACGCGUUAAGUAGACCGCCUGGGGAGUACGGUCGCAAGAUUAAAACUCAAAUGAAUUGACGGGGGCCCGCACAAGCGGUGGAGCAUGUGGUUUAAUUCGAUGCAACGCGAAGAACCUUACCUACUCUUGACAUCCAGAGAACUUUCCAGAGAUGGAUUGGUGCCUUCGGGAACUCUGAGACAGGUGCUGCAUGGCUGUCGUCAGCUCGUGUUGUGAAAUGUUGGGUUAAGUCCCGCAACGAGCGCAACCCUUAUCCUUGUUUGCCAGCGAGUAAUGUCGGGAACUCCAGGGAGACUGCCGGUGAUAAACCGGAGGAAGGUGGGGACGACGUCAAGUCAUCAUGGCCCUUACGAGUAGGGCUACACACGUGCUACAAUGGCGCAUACAGAGGGCAGCCAACUUGCGAAAGUGAGCGAAUCCCAAAAAGUGCGUCGUAGUCCGGAUUGGAGUCUGCAACUCGACUCCAUGAAGUCGGAAUCGCUAGUAAUCGUGGAUCAGAAUGCCACGGUGAAUACGUUCCCGGGCCUUGUACACACCGCCCGUCACACCAUGGGAGUGGGCUGCAAAAGAAGUAGGUAGUUUAACCUUCGGGGGGACGCUUACCACUUUGUGGUUCAUGACUGGGGUGAAUC
This 1289-nucleotide ribosomal RNA is filed under the name Vibrio sp. RNAcentral's name for it is "bacterial SSU rRNA". It matches the Rfam family "Bacterial small subunit ribosomal RNA", at positions 202 to 1486 of the family's 1533-position model. The record is from RNAcentral. Lineage: Bacteria; Pseudomonadati; Pseudomonadota; Gammaproteobacteria; Vibrionales; Vibrionaceae.